CAAUAGUCUCAUGUGCCUGAUUUUAGUUUUGAGUGCUGAGACGACCACGUUCACACGAGUAAGUUAGAUAUACCAAUUAGUACAGUGUAACAACAGUUGCUAUACCAUCAAUCUAGUUAUGUGUGGUACUAUAUAUCUCAAGAGAACAUGUUGAUUAUGUAAGACAUCUAGUCAGGGUGUUCCGUGUAACAGUUAGUAUGAUCGUCAUGAUUGUUCAGAACUAACAACAGUACUGGGUAUCUAUGUGUGUCAGUGGAUACAUUCCUACACAGUGCAUUAUUUUUUGACCAAAGGGCCAUAAUGUAGUUAUCUCUUAUAUUCCCUAUCUAUCUGUGUUUGUGUCAGUGUGUACGUCAACCAGUCCUCCAUCAGGCUUGUGAGUGUCAGAGAGAUGGUGUGGGUGGUUUUUUUCUUCUUUUCUCUGGUGACAGCAAGUUCAGGCAGGGUGUGUGACGGAGGAGAUAUGAGAAGAGUUCCCAAAGCAACAGGCACUCAGAACACAUAGAGAAGAUCACCCAGGAACACAGAGACACAGCAGCUUUAAAGACAUAAAAACAACAGAGAGAUAUAUUGCAUCGCAAAGGAGAAGAGAAGGAGAGAAACAAAAGAAAGAGAAGAGAAGGAGAGAAUAAAAAAAGAAAAGAUGGCGAUCGGAAAGAGUCCCAGAAACGGUUCCGUCAGGUCUCCAAAGUACUUGGACAAGAGUUCUGGGUUCUACGGUCGCCUGGAUGAGCCCGAGAUGGGAGGAGAGGAGGAGGAGCAGGGGAGAGAGGGGGACUGGGGGGGAUCGUGCCCAGCCACAGAGCUCUCUACGGGGGGAGAGACGGACCGGGGAGAGCCUGGGGUGUUUGACUUCAACGAGGGAAUGAUGGAAGAUGACGACACCACUCUCCUCCGAAGGAAACCCAGCCGGCUCAGCUCCCGCUGGAGAAGAAGCUCCAGGAAGGCCAAACCCCAGGCGAUCUCCCCCAGGGAGGGGGAACAGAUCCUGGGUACAGAGAUGGAGGCCCCUGUCCUGGAGGUCACUGCGGUGGAAGUGAGAAGGAGCCGCUGGGGGAGGAGCACCGGGAAGAAACAGGGGGCCGAGCCUCUGACGGUCUCCCCCAGGGAGGAGGGCCCGAUCCUGGGUACGGAGAUGGAGACGCAGACCCCUGUCCUGGAGGUCCUGGAGGUGGAGGUGAGGGUAGAGACUGAAGAAGGACAGAGGGAGAAAGAGAGAAUAGAAGAGGAGAGGACGCUGGUCCACUUUGCGAGCAGAGAAGAAGAGGAUGACCAGGUUCUGAUAAAGGACAAUAAGAGAGGGAGGGAAGAAGAGAAGGAGGAGGAGAUGAAGGUGAUGAGGAAGAGGAGCACGCUGAAGAACUACCGCAAGACUUUCGACCGAGCGUUCCGACGAGGGUGGGAGACCUUCGUCACUAACCUGUACAGCGUGACGCUCACACCUGACUCAUCAUCAUCAUCACCCCCAUCAAGGGAGAUGCACCAUUCCUCAGCAUUAGCAGAAUACAGAUAGGAUUCACAAACCUGUUCAUCUAAUCUGUAAACUGCAAUUGUUCCAAUCAGGUUAUGUAACGCCCAUAUUGUAAUUUGAGAUUGAGGCUGGCUUGGAGAGGGUUCUGUUUGUGUUCUCAACGCAAAUGACCUGUGUUCACCUCAAUGUAUGGUUCAGUUGAUUAAUCAAUCAGUGAUAUUGAUCUAGUACAUACGGGUUUAUCAAUGAUCAAUAUGAACAGCACCCGAUUAACACCAGGAAGUACACAAAGUUUAACUCAUUCUUAUUCUGAAUUCCAAAAUAGCACACUAUUGUACUAGUGCACGAAAUAGGGAAUGGGUUUAAUACUUCCUCACAGGGUGAAGUGUUCAUACCUCUCUGGAGGACCAUCUGCAGGGUGGUUUCAGUGUUGUGCAACCUGAGGGAGACAUAUGUUUCACUAUCCAUGUACCUAUUGAAUGUACCCCAAGUGUGUUAUGUUUGUUUCAUAAAAGGAGAAUGUUUUCAUACCAUGAAAUGAACUAACCAUGGGGGACAUGAGGGUACGAAAAAAAAACGGUCUCAAACUUUGGUCCUCUGACUUUGUCUAAAAGGAGGUUGCACACAACACACACAACAUACAUUAUUUAUUCAUGUUAAUUUAUUUACUAUAUGAUCAGUUUUCACACUUUUCUGUGUAAUCUCUCUCAAUAAUAUCUUACCAAAGAGUUUAUUUAUUUUUAAUUAUUGGCUUAAAUCACAACAUAACAUCUCUCUCUUGCAGCAUUGAAGUCAAGCUCAGAAUUAUAUGAGAGCUAUACUGAGCUGCUGGAGAAAUUGUUUUUCUUCUGUGUUGCACUUGAAUGACUUGAAUGAAAUUGUUAUAUUUAGUUUAAAAAUCAAUGCUUUGUAUUACUUGUGCCAUCUUUGUAGCCUUUGUCCUUAAAUAAAUAUAAUUUCUCAAAUA
Molecule: long non-coding RNA, 2438 nt
Organism: Oncorhynchus tshawytscha (Chinook salmon)
Lineage: Eukaryota; Metazoa; Chordata; Actinopteri; Salmoniformes; Salmonidae
Source: Ensembl